Non-coding RNA from Ornithorhynchus anatinus (platypus), 72 nucleotides. NCBI's taxonomy places the organism in Eukaryota, Metazoa, Chordata, Mammalia, Monotremata, Ornithorhynchidae. The record is from Rfam.
AGCAGCGUGGCUUAGUAGAAAGAGCCUGGGCUUCGGAGUCAGAGAUCAUGGGUUCGACUCCCGGCUCUGCCA